RNAcentral lists this non-coding RNA (26 nucleotides) under Mus musculus (house mouse). Lineage: Eukaryota; Metazoa; Chordata; Mammalia; Rodentia; Muridae. The record is from RNAcentral.
UACCAGCGAGACUGAGAUAUCCAGAG